RNAcentral lists this long non-coding RNA (990 nucleotides) under Homo sapiens (human). Its description in RNAcentral is "non-protein coding lnc-SNX31-1:3". The record is from RNAcentral. Lineage: Eukaryota; Metazoa; Chordata; Mammalia; Primates; Hominidae.
AUGGUGAAGGUGAAGGCCAGAGUAAAUAGAUUUGGGCCAUAUUGGGCACCUGGUCACCAGGGCUGCUUUUAACUCUAGUAAAGUGGAUAUUGUCACCAUCAAUGACCCUUCAUUGACCUCAACUACAUGGUCUGCAUGUUCCAGUAUUUCUACCCAUGGCAAAUUCCACCACACCGUCAAGGCUGAGAAUGGGAAGCUUGUCAUCAAUGGAAAUCCCAUCACCAUCUUCCAGGAGCAAGAUCCUACCAAAAUCAAAUGGGGUGAUGCUGAAGCUGAGUAUGCCGUGGAGUCCACUGGCAUCUUCAUGACCAUAGAGAAGGCUGGGGCUCACUUAAUGGGGGAGCCAAAAGGGUCAUCAUCUCUACCCCCUCUGCUGAUGCCCCCAUAUUCAUAAUGGGCAUGAUCCCUGAGAAGUCUGAAAACAGCCUCAAGAUCAUCAGCAAUGCCUUCUGUACCACCAACUGCUUAAUCCCCCGGCCAAGCCCAUCCAUGACAACUUUGGCAUUGUGGAAGGACUUGUGACCACAAUCCAUGCUGCCACUCCUGCCCAGAAGACUCGAUGGCCUCUGUGGGAAACUGUGGCAUAUGUCUGUGGGGCUCUCCAGAACAUCAUCCCUGCAUCUACUGGUGUUGCCAAGGCUGUGGGCAAGGCCAUCCCCGAGCUGAACAGGAAGCUCACUAGCAUGGCCUUCCGUGUCCUUCUGCAAACGUGUUGGUUGUGGACCUGACCUGCCAUCUGGAGAAACCUGCCAAAUAUGAUGACAUCAAAAAGGUGGUGAAGCAGGCGUCAGAGGGCCCCUCAAGGGCAUCUUGGGCUACACUGAACACCAGGUUGUUUCCUCUGACUUUAACAGUGACACUCACUCUUCCACUUUCGAUGCUGGGGCUGCCAUUGCCCUCAGUGACCACUUUGUCAAGCUCAUUUCCUCGUACAACAGUGAAUUUGGCUACAGCAACAGGGUGGUGGCCCAUAUGGCCUCCAAGGAGUAA